RNAcentral lists this long non-coding RNA (396 nucleotides) under Mytilus galloprovincialis (Mediterranean mussel). Lineage: Eukaryota; Metazoa; Mollusca; Bivalvia; Mytilida; Mytilidae. The record is from RNAcentral.
AUAACAGCUAAUUAGUCAAUAACAGUUAACAGCACACAUAUCUUCAAAAUAACAGUUAACAAAAGUUUUAAAAUGCCUAAAACACCUCAACAGAACAGAUUUUGCACCCCCUCUCAAAAAUCAAAUUAAAAAACAGACUCAACUUUUAUUCAUAUGAUAUAUCCACCAAAUAUAUGCUAGGUGAAUUUUCUAUCAAUUAUACAAAUUUUCUGCAUCAAUGAUCUUGGAUAUUUGCCACUUUUUACAAAAAAAUAUACAGACACAGAACCAGGACCGUUUUUCUAAUCACCAGCACAUCGUCAGGACAAUUUCGUUUGGCGAAUUUGCACGACUUUUGCAAUAAGAACUCGUUGUAAUAUUCCUCACAUGGAACUAAGUACGUAUCAGAGAAAAAUU